CUACGGGGGGCAGCAGUAGGGAAUCUUCCGCAAUGGACGAAAGUCUGACGGAGCAACGCCGCGUGAGUGAUGAAGGUUUUCGGAUCGUAAAACUCUGUUGUUAGGGAAGAACAAGUACGAGAGUAACUGCUCGUACCUUGACGGUACCUAACCAGAAAGCCACGGCUAACUACGUGCCAGCAGCCGCGGUAAUACGUAGGUGGCAAGCGUUGUCCGGAAUUAUUGGGCGUAAAGCGCGCGCAGGCGGUCCUUUAAGUCUGAUGUGAAAGCCCACGGCUCAACCGUGGAGGGUCAUUGGAAACUGGGGGACUUGAGUGCAGAAGAGAAGAGUGGAAUUCCACGUGUAGCGGUGAAAUGCGUAGAGAUGUGGAGGAACACCAGUGGCGAAGGCGACUCUUUGGUCUGUAACUGACGCUGAGGCGCGAAAGCGUGGGGAGCAAACAGGAUUAGAUACCCGAGUAGUC
This 464-nucleotide ribosomal RNA is filed under the name uncultured bacterium. Its description in RNAcentral is "partial 16S ribosomal RNA". It matches the Rfam family "Bacterial small subunit ribosomal RNA", at positions 339 to 795 of the family's 1533-position model. The record is from RNAcentral.